AAUAGCGUAUAUUAAAGUUGUUGCGGUUAAAAAGCUCGUAGUUGGAUUUCUGCUGAGAACGACCGGUCCGCCCUCUGGGUGUGUAUCUGGCUCUUUCUUGGCAUCUUCUUGGUGAACGUUGCUGCACUUGACUGUGUGGAGCGCUACCCAGGACUUUUACUUUGAGGAAAUUAGAGUGUUUCAAGCAGGCAUACGCCUUGAAUACAUUAGCAUGGAAUAAUAAGAUAGGACCUCGGUUCUAUUUUGUUGGUUUCUAGAGCUGAGGUAAUGAUUAAUAGGGAUAGUUGGGGGCAUUCGUAUUUAACUGUCAGAGGUGAAAUUCUCGGAUUUGUUAAAGACGGACUACUGCGAAAGCAUUUGCCAAGGAUGUUUNCAUUGA
This 379-nucleotide ribosomal RNA is filed under the name uncultured eukaryote. RNAcentral describes it as "partial 18S ribosomal RNA". It matches the Rfam family "Eukaryotic small subunit ribosomal RNA", at positions 593 to 976 of the family's 1831-position model. The record is from RNAcentral.